UAAAUCCUAAUAUUGCAUCUCCACACAGCCUAAUAAAAGUCUAAGCAAAAACAGAAUACACAACAACAAUCACUAGACAUAUCAACAUGUUUUUCAACCUUUUUCAUGUACAACAAAGAAACACAAUUGUAACCAAGUAGAUCAAGACAAGGGACCAUGCCCGGUGUCAAAAUGAGAUCCAGAACAACCACCUUACUGUAAUAUGUUACGCGAUUUGCUGAAGGUCUUUAAGUACAAAGGCAAGCGAAGAACAUUGCAGCAAAUAAGGCUAGAUAUCCAUUGUGGCUUCUGUGUUUGCUUGCAGCACCGUGAUGGCGUUUGUGGUGUGCAUUUGCAGCAUAGAUUGGUAUGAAAUUCGAUGAUCCUGGAGUCGAAGGAGAUCGAGAUCCAUCGCCAUUUACUUCCCCUCCACUUCCUCUGCCACCACUAAUAUGAGCCUCUGCAGCAUGACCAUAUUUGCUGUUAAUAACUAUUGUUGUAUUUACAUUAACAUCAUGAUUACUAUUAAGUUGUUCACCCACUAUUGCUUCUUUGUGAUCUGAAAUAAUAGGUUAAUGACAUUCGAAGAUUCUACAAUACAUAUUAUUUAUCAGGUAAAUAUCAGCUGAUUCAGACGAAAUCAGAAUUUAAACUUGACGAGUUCAACCUUAGGUUCUCACAGCUAACUAAAUCCAAAUGUAUUUUCGCAGUAAGGGGUUCAAUUUUAGUGAUUUGACACUCUCAAACACACGGUUCAAGCCGUGGAAACUACCUCCGGUAGAAUACAAAGUAAGGUUGCGUACAAUAAACCCUUGUGAUUCGGUUCUUCCCCGGACUCCAUGCAUGUAUAUAGCAGGAGCUUUAGUUCAUUGGACAACCCUUUACACUCUCAAACAAACAUACAUGCUCAUGUGUACACACAAUAUAUAAAUAUAUUUUAAACAGUACAAUGGUUGUGGGGACUUCCCUCCUCUAUGAUUCAGAUGAAUAAUUAAAGAAAAAAUCCAUAUCCCUUAAUUGAAAGAGUGAAAAAAACACAAAGUUUUCCUUUCAAUUAAGUAAAUGGAUUGCUAAUUGAUCAGGUUAUGAAAAGCAGCACAUCAACUCUUUGGUUUAAACAGAAAAGAAUCAAUAAAUUUGAACACAUUAGGUCAAUUCAACAACAUUAAGAGAAACCAAGAAACUACAUAAUACUUUCUUUGGGGAGUGUCAGCGGGGGCGGAGCUAGUGUUGUGGUUCAAUAACUUUACUUAAGAUCAUACUUUUGUGUUAAGAGAUUCACCUAAUAUAUAUAAAUAACUUAACUCAGUAAAUCCAUAAAUUUAAAAUUUCAAAUUCACCUUUGGGUGUCUGGACCACCUUGUGGUACCUCAACUAAUUUCACGAGUAAUUUGCUAUCUCCCACCAGCACAAAAUUAACCUAUAAUUAAUUCUAUCCACCAAAUCUUGAUCGGAUGGGGAAAAAAUAAACUCAAGAAUACUUACACAGAGGGAUUAAGAGAUGAAGAAAAUAAAAUUAC
Molecule: long non-coding RNA, 1499 nt
Filed under: Capsicum annuum
Lineage: Eukaryota; Viridiplantae; Streptophyta; Magnoliopsida; Solanales; Solanaceae
Description: long non-coding RNA (CANN_LNC019750)
Source: RNAcentral